Molecule: long non-coding RNA, 619 nt
Organism: Bombina bombina (fire-bellied toad)
Lineage: Eukaryota; Metazoa; Chordata; Amphibia; Anura; Bombinatoridae
Exons: 3
Source: RefSeq, a predicted model, not a curated record
CCCGCAAAGCUAACAUAAGAUCCCGGAAAGAGCAGAGCCUGAGAAAAUCAAAUUAGAGCCUGCACUUUUCAUUUCUACCUGUAGGUGUCACUGUUCCGUUGUAGCUCAAUGUAAAUAGUUACUGCGUUCCUCUCUGGACUUUUCUCCCCCUUCCUGAUCCUGAACUCUAGUGCGGUGUCAGACAGCAGCAGACCUGUUAUAUAUAGAGGUGAGGUAGUAGAGGAUGUCACUAAAUAUAGCAGGGACGAGCUGCCAGCUGAAGUGACAACACCAACUUAUUCUAAAGAUGAGGAUGAUUUUCUAAAAUCUAUCAUCCCAGUUUACAAGUUCGGGAAGAGCAAUGGCGAAAUCGUUGUUCCGUUUCUUGUUGGUGCAAUUAUUUCUCUAAUUGUGAUAGGAUUCACGUGUCAGUACUUCAAGCGGAAGGGUCAGAAGAAAGACAGUGUCACCAGCAUGGAAGAAGGGAUACCAAGUGAGGAGGAAGAGGAGUCCAGCACUGAGCAUUUUUCUGCCCUAGAGGGGUAACUCCUCUUUCAAAUUAGCCUGUAAAUAUCAUAUGGCCAAUGUAACACAGCAGUUAGAAAACUGUAAAUAAAUAUAGAUAUAAUUCUGUACUAGA